Molecule: long non-coding RNA, 3954 nt
Organism: Colossoma macropomum (tambaqui)
Lineage: Eukaryota; Metazoa; Chordata; Actinopteri; Characiformes; Serrasalmidae
Exons: 3
Source: RefSeq, a predicted model, not a curated record
CUCUCUCUGGAUGAUGUGAUUCACUCUGACAGGCUGAGUCUUUCAGGUUUUAGGCUGUCUCUCUGUUGGACUGAGCUCAGUGAAUGAGAGCUGGUUCAGAAGAUCACAUCUUUCUCUUCAUUCACUCAGACUGAAAGUUCUGCUGCGUCUCUCAUCAUAUAAUAACUGUAGUUUGUCCAAAAGUCUCCACUGGGUUUCAGUGUAGUGCUGCUGUAGAGGACGUGAAUGUUUUUAUAGCACUUUGUGGAUCAGUGACUGAACAGUGAAGAUUGUUUUUGGUCCUGAUUAAGAGAAGAUUUCUGAGGAUCGAUCUGAAGGGCUUGAGUACUGAGAGUACAUUUACACUGUGAGGAGAAGAGUCACUGUGCAGUUCACCCUACAGCUGAGUCAGUAUGAUCAUCAGGCUGGGCAGACUCACUCCGGGGUACUUCAAACUGCUACAGAGGCAGAUGUCAGGUGAGGUUCAGGUGCAGCCUCAGUUCGGACCUGUCAAUCACGUCGCUAUGGCGAUGGCGAUGGUGGGUGUGAGUGUCUCCUUCUACAGCGCCAGGCAGAUGGGUCAACAGCAGGUCCAGCAGGAACCAUGCUAAAGACUUGCAGAACCACACUAAAGGAACUAUGCUAGAACCACACUAACACCCAGCAAACCAUGUUAAUGGAAUCAGAGAAUCACACUACAGAACCGGAGAACCAGGGUAAAAGAACUAGAAAGUUAACAGAACCUGAGGACCACACUAACAGAACAAGAGAACCAGUCUAAUACUGUUGGAGGACGACACUAGAAGAAUUAGAAAAUCACACUAAAGAUCUGUAGAACAACACAGAGUCAGAGAACCAUUCUAAUAGAACUGACGGACAACACUAAUGAAAACAUAAAAUCAUGUUAACAGAACCUAAGAACCACACUAACAGAACCAUAGAACCAUACUAACAGAACCAUGCUAAUGGAGGCAGUGAACAAAGCUAACAAUGUGAGACUGCCAUGGUGAAUAACCUGGAGAACCUCCAUUCAGAACCGGAAAGCACUAAAGGAAUCAAGAAAUCACACUAACAGAGGAGAGAACCAUGCUAAAACAACCAGAGAACCACUCUAACAGAUCCAGGAGAACCAAAAGCUAACAGAGCCAGAGAACCGCUAACAGAACUGGAGAAUCACGUUGACCAAACCGGAGAACCCAACCAAAAGAAUGGAACCACAGAACCAAUUGAACUGAAGCAGAUAACCAAGUGAACAGAGCCUGAGAGUCACACUAACAGAACCAGAGAACCACACUAACAGAACUGGACAAUAAAAAUAACAGAACUGGAGAGCCACGCUAAAGAUCUAGAAAACCACAGUGAAGGAACAGGAGAACCUUGAGAAAGGGGAAAACCUCACAGUGAUGUUAAAAUAGAGAAUAUGUGUUUGAGUGUGGAGGAUGGGCUGAUAGUAAAGGUCUGAGGCUGAAUCUUAAAUGGUUCUGGUUCUUCCUGUUCCUUUUCUUCCUAUGCUCAGAAAAACCCAGCUGAACCUGAGUGAAUGCAGAGAGAACUUUCUAGAGUCUUUCAAGAAUCACACACAAAAACUGGGGGUGGCUGAUAUGAAAAAUAUAACAUCACAAUAUUUAAAAAAUUGUAUCUAUGGCAAAUUGAAUGAACUUAUCACUACUGUACUAGCGAGCUAAUGCACUACAUAGUACAGCAGGGAGCUAAUGCACUACAUAGUACAGUAGGGAGCUAAUGCACUACAUAGUACAGCAGGGAGCUAAUGCACUACAUAGUACAGCAGGGAGCUAAUGCACUACAUAGUACAGCAGGGAGCUAAUGCACUGUGUAGUACUGUAGGGAUCUAAUGCACUACAUAGUAUAGCAGGGAGCUAAUGCACUACAUAGUACAGCAGGGAGCUACUGCACUGCAUAGUACAGUAGGGAGCUAAUGCACUACAGCAGGAAGCUACUGCACUACAUAGUACAGUAGGGAACUAAUGCACUACAUAGUAUAGUAGGGAACUAAUGCACUACAUAGUAUAGUAGGGAGCUAAUGCACUACAUAGUACAGCAGGGAGCUACUGCACUGCAUAGUACAGUAGGGAGCUAAUGCACUACAGCAGGAAGCUACUGCACUACAUAGUACAGUAGGGAACUAAUGCACUACAUAGUAUAGUAGGGAACUAAUGCACUACAUAGUAUAGUAGGGAGCUACUGUACUACAUCGUACAGCAGGAAGCUACUGCACUAUAUAGUACAGCAGGAAGCUACUGCACUACAUAGUACAGCAGGAAGCCACUGCACUACAUAGUACAGCAGAGAGCUAAUGCACUACAUAGCAUAGUAGGGAGCUACUACACUACAUAGUACAGUAGGGAGCCAAUGCACUACAUAGUACAGCAGGGAGCCAAUGCAUUACAUAGUACAGCAGGGAGCUACUGCACUACAUAGUACAGCAGGGAGCUAAUGCACUACAUAGUACAGCAGGAAGCUACUGCACUACAUAGUACAGUAGGGAGCUAAUGCACUACAUAGUACAGCAGGAAGCUACUGCACUACAUAGUACAGCAGGAAGCUACUGCACUACAUAGUACAGUAGGGAGCUAAUGCACUACAUAGUACGGCAGGAAGCUACUGUACUACAUAGUACAGCAGGAAGCUACUGCACUACAUAGUACAGCAGGAAGCUACUGCACUACAUAGUACAGUAGGAAGCUAAUGCACUACAUAGUACAGCAUGGAGCUAAUGCACUGUGUAGUACUGUAGGGGACUAGUGCACUACAUAAUACAGUAGGAAGCUAGUGCACUAUGUAGUACAGUAGGGACCUAGUGCACUAUGUAGUACAGUAGGGACCUAGUGCACUAUGUAGUACAGUAGGGACCAGGUGCACUAUGUAGUACAGUAGGGACCUAGUGCGCUACAUAGUACAGCAGAAAUCUAGUGCACUACAUAGUUCAGUACAAAGUAAGUACUGUGUAGGGCUCUAUGUAGUGCACUAGCUAUGUACUGUGCACUACAUAGAGCCCUACACAGGGAGCAGAGAGCUAAUGGAGGUUCAGCUUGAGUCUGAUCUACAGGACGUCUGGAGGUUGGAGAUACAGAAUGUAGUGUGUGGGGUUAUGCCGGUUAUGCAGGUUAUGCAGGUUAUGUUGUUGAUGCAGGUGAGGGAACGAUGAUUAAACGACACUGUAAGUGAAUCUGAUGGUUAUAAUAAUUACCGGUUGUCAUGGUAAUUCUUUACUGACAGUAAGGUAUUUGGUAAUGCUUUAUUUCAUUUAGCUCAUGCUUUCUCAGCAAAUAUCUAGAACCCGAUGGAAUUUCAGAGUAAUUUAAAUAAACUGUCUUAAAACUUACCAUCAUGUUACCCAAAUAAUUGUUUAGUACUUUUGAGUGUGUACCUCAUGCUUACUCAAUUAAUAUCUAGAACCUGUUGGGCAUUUUAUUAUAAUUUAGUUAGACUGUCUCAGAACUCACCAUCAUGUAACCCAAAUAAUUUUAUUUUGGAGUUUGUACCUCACGCUCAUCCAGUUAAAUAUCUAGAACUGAAGUGAUGUAAAAGAAAACGUUACUGAGUACUUUUAUUAUCUGCUCCAUGUUAAGAGCUCUUGAAUGCUGGUCACACUGUCUUUAUAAUAUUUUAUAUUUAUUGAAAACAUCACUGAAGCCUCUGGGGUUUGUAAUGUGAAUGAAAUCUUCUGUAUUAAAUUAUUACAGCUAUUUUACUGUCAAACUGUAUAUCAUUAUUGCAGGUGCAGUCAUACUUAAUAAUGUCAAAACAUAACAAUAUUACACACAAAGAAGUUUAAUUCACAUCUGUUUAAUUAUGUCACUUAAUGAGUUUAAUACGGUUCUCUAUCCUCUCUGAAUACAUCAGCUGUGAAGGAACUUUAACACACUGUGAAACUGUUAUUUUACAUCACGUCAGUUUGUAUCACUCAGAUUGUUGUUGUAUUUACCAAAUAAAGCACACAGGAUACUGUAAAUU